Molecule: ribosomal RNA, 809 nt
Filed under: uncultured bacterium
Lineage: Bacteria
Description: bacterial SSU rRNA
Rfam family: Bacterial small subunit ribosomal RNA
Source: RNAcentral
AGAGUUUGAUCCUGGCUCAGGACGAACGCUGGCGGCGUGCUUAACACAUGCAAUUUCGAGCGAUGAAACACCUUCGGGUGUGAAUUAGCGGCGAACGGGUGAGGAACACGUGAAGAAUCUGCCUUCAACUCUGGGAUAACUCCGGGAAACCGGGGCUAAUACCGGAUAUGAGCCUCGAUCGCAUGAUUGGGGCUGGAAAGUUUUUCGGUUGAAGAUGACUUCGCGGCCUAUCAGCUUGUUGGUGAGGUAAUGGCUCACCAAGGCGACGACGGGUAGCCGGCCUGAGAGGGCGACCGGCCACACUGGGACUGAGACACGGCCCAGACUCCUACGGGAGGCAGCAGUGGGGAAUAUUGGGCAAUGGAGGAAACUCUGACCCAGCGACGCCGCGUGAGGGAUGAAGGCCUUCGGGUUGUAAACCUCUUUCAGUAGGGAAGAAGCGAAAGUGACGGUACCUACAGAAGAAGCACCGGCUAACUAUGUGCCAGCAGCCGCGGUAAUACAUAGGGUGCAAGCGUUGUCCGGAAUUAUUGGGCGUAAAGAGCUCGUAGGUGGUUCGAUACGUCGGAUGUGAAAAUCAGGGGCUCAACCCCUGACCUGCAUCCGAUACGGUCGAGCUAGAGUUUGGUAGGGGAGACUGGAAUUCCUGGUGUAGCGGUGGAAUGCGCAGAUAUCAGGAGGAACACCGAUGGCGAAGCAGGUCUCUGGGCCAAUACUGACACUGAGGAGCGAAAGCGUGGGGAGCGAACAGGAUUAGAUACCCUGGUAGUCCACGCCGUAAACGGUGGGCGCUAGUUGUGCGAACCUUC